This 327-nucleotide small nuclear RNA is filed under the name Neotoma lepida (desert woodrat). RNAcentral's name for it is "7SK RNA". It matches the Rfam family "7SK RNA". From Rfam's summary of the family: 7SK was discovered as an abundant small nuclear RNA in the mid-70s but a possible function has only recently been suggested. The record is from Rfam by way of RNAcentral. Lineage: Eukaryota; Metazoa; Chordata; Mammalia; Rodentia; Cricetidae.
GGAAGAGAAGGUAAUCUUCCCAGAAAUGUGUCACCCCAUUGAUCACCAGGAUUGGUUCUGCUGCUCUGGCUAGACCAUUGUCCCUAUCACUGACUCAAUAAUUCAUCUGUGUCCCUCAUGAUGAUGUGUGCUCCAUCAAAGAGGACAGCCGUAUCAAUAAAGAAGGACUGUUUUUCCCCCAUAAAGGAAGAAUGUUCUUUGGUGAGCUCCACUCCCCUGGUAGAACAUCCAAAUAAGAUCUCAAGAAAAUAAAAAGGGAGAGGAAAGAUGCUCUACAUCAUUAAUGGCCAUGGGAACUUAAAACAAAAUGCUGCUUAAGCUCAUUAU